UACAGAGGUCCCGAGCGUUGUUCGGAUUUAUUGGGCGUAAAGGGUGCGUAGGCGGCGGAGUAAGUUGGGUGUGAAAUCCCGGGGCUUAACCUCGGAAUUGCAUUCAAUACUGCUUCGCUAGAGUACUGGAGAGGAGGCUGGAAUUUACGGUGUAGCAGUGAAAUGCGUAGAUAUCGUAAGGAAGGCCGGUGGCGAAAGCGAGCCUCUGGACAGUUACUGACGCUCAUGCACGAAAGCGUGGGGAGCAAACAGG
Molecule: ribosomal RNA, 253 nt
Filed under: uncultured bacterium
Lineage: Bacteria
Description: partial 16S ribosomal RNA
Rfam family: Bacterial small subunit ribosomal RNA
Source: RNAcentral